UUUAAAAUAGUUGUUAUAGAUAUUCAAAUAACCCUGAAACAAAUGCUUAGGGAUUUUAUUGGUAUCAGGGUUAAUCGUGCCAAGAAAAGCGGCAUGGUCAAUAUAACCAGUAGUGUUAACAGUCGGGAGAGGAGUGGCAUUAACACCAUCCUUCAUGAACUUAAUCCACUGUUCACCAUAAACGUGACGAUGAGGGACAUAAAAAGUAAAAAUGUCUACAGUAGAGUCAAUAGCAAGGCCACGACGCAAUGGAGAAAGACGGAGAGCGCCAACGGCGUCCAUCUCGAAGGAGUCGCCAGCGAUAACCGGAGUAGUUGAAAUGGUAAUAAGACGACCAAUCUGCCCAGCAA
RNAcentral lists this ribosomal RNA (350 nucleotides) under uncultured prokaryote. RNAcentral's name for it is "partial 16S ribosomal RNA". The record is from RNAcentral.